This 253-nucleotide ribosomal RNA is filed under the name uncultured bacterium. Its description in RNAcentral is "partial 16S ribosomal RNA". It matches the Rfam family "Bacterial small subunit ribosomal RNA", at positions 524 to 776 of the family's 1533-position model. The record is from RNAcentral.
UACGUAGGGGGCAAGCGUUGUCCGGAAUCAUUGGGCGUAAAGAGCGUGUAGGCGGUCCGGUAAGUCGGUUGUGAAAGUCCAGGGCUCAACCCUGGGAUGCCGAUCGAUACUGUCGGACUAGAGUUCGGAAGAGGCGAGUGGAAUUCCCGGUGUAGCGGUGAAAUGCGCAGAUAUCGGGAGGAACACCAAUGGCGAAGGCAGCUCGCUGGGACGUUACUGACGCUGAGGAGCGAAAGCGUGGGUAGCAAACAGG